This 430-nucleotide unclassified non-coding RNA is filed under the name soil metagenome. RNAcentral's name for it is "partial contains 5.8S ribosomal RNA, internal transcribed spacer 2, and large subunit ribosomal RNA". The stretch from base 1 to 120 matches the Rfam family "5.8S ribosomal RNA", at positions 35 to 154 of the family's 154-position model. The record is from RNAcentral.
GAUGAAGAACGCAGCGAAAUGCGAUACGUAAUGUGAAUUGCAGAAUUCAGUGAAUCAUCGAAUCUUUGAACGCAUAUUGCGCUCUCUGGUAUUCCGGAGAGCAUGCUUGUUUGAGUAUCAGUAAACACCUCAACUCCCUUUUCUUUUUUGAAAUUGGAGCUGGACUUGAGUGAUCCCAACGCUUUCUUCCAAGAAAGUGGCGGGUUGCUUGAAAUGCAGGUGCAGCUGAACUUUUCUCUGAGCUAUAAGCAUAUCUAUUUAGUCUGCCUAAAAAACAGAUUAUUACCUUUGCUGCAGCUAACAUAAAGGAGACUAGUUCUUGUGCUGACUGAUGCAGGAUUCACAGAGACAGCUUCGGCUGACUUUGUAAACUCGAUCUCAAAUCAAGGAAGACUACCCGCUGAACUUAAGCAUAUCAAUAAGCGGAGGA